This 292-nucleotide ribosomal RNA is filed under the name uncultured bacterium. RNAcentral's name for it is "partial 16S ribosomal RNA". The record is from RNAcentral. RNAcentral also lists the same sequence under 2 other names.
GGACUACUCGGGUUUCUAAUCCCGUUUGCUCCCCUGGCUUUCGCGCCUCAGCGUCAGAAGAGGUCCAGCAGGUCGCUUUCGCCACCGGCGUUCCUUCCGAUAUCAACGCAUUUCACCGCUCCACCGGAAGUUCCACCUGCCCCUACCUCCCUCCAGCGGCGCCGUAUCCAAGGCCCUUUUCCGGUUAAGCCGAAAGCUUUCACCCCGGACGUGCGCCACCGCCUACGCGCCCUUUAAGCCCAGUGAAUCCGAACAACGUUCGCACGGUUCGUCUUACCGCGGCUGCUGGCAC